GAAAUGCGAUAAGUAAUGUGAAUUGCAGAAUUCAGUGAAUCAUCGAAUCUUUGAACGCACCUUGCGCUCCUUGGUAUUCCUUGGAGCAUGCCUGUUUGAGUAUCAUGAAAUCUUCAAAGUAAAUCUUUUGUUAACUCAAUUGGUUUCUACUUUGUUAUUGGAGGUCUUUGCAGCUUCACACCUGCUCCUCUUUGUUCAUUAGCUGGAUCUCAGUGUUAUGCUUGGUUCCACUCGGCGUGAUAAGUUAUCUAUCGCUGAGGACACUGUAAUAGGUGGCCAAGGUAAAUGCAGAUGAACCGCUUCUAAUAGUCCAUUGACUUGGACAAUACUUUUAUGAUCUGAUCUCAAAUCAGGUAGGACUACCCGCUGAACUUAAGC
Molecule: unclassified non-coding RNA, 378 nt
Filed under: plant metagenome
Description: partial contains 5.8S ribosomal RNA, internal transcribed spacer 2, and large subunit ribosomal RNA
Rfam family: 5.8S ribosomal RNA (bases 1-105)
Source: RNAcentral